This 180-nucleotide unclassified non-coding RNA is filed under the name uncultured Anthostomella. RNAcentral describes it as "sequence contains ITS1". The record is from RNAcentral. Lineage: Eukaryota; Fungi; Ascomycota; Sordariomycetes; Xylariales; Xylariaceae.
CAGAGUUACUAAACUCCCAAACCAUUGUGAACUUACCUAUGUUGCCUCGGUGGUGGCUUACCCUGUACUUACCCUGUAGCCACCCUGUAGCUACCCGGUACUUACCCGGUAGCAGCCGCCGGUGGAUCUUCAAACUCUUGUUUAAUUAUAAGCAUUCUGAGUAAUUACUAUAAUAAGUUA